Molecule: long non-coding RNA, 245 nt
Organism: Sebastes umbrosus (honeycomb rockfish)
Lineage: Eukaryota; Metazoa; Chordata; Actinopteri; Perciformes; Sebastidae
Exons: 2
Source: RefSeq, a predicted model, not a curated record
CUCAAGGACCCGCCUGUUGCUGAAGCCGGGAUCGAUGGCAACCAAUUUGAGACGAGUGCUUCUUCUUCUCUGUCUCAGUCCAAAGACUCCAAGAAGAAAAACGGCUUCUGCGCCUUGUUCUGCAACGUCUUCUCGAAGGAGGAACAGAAGAUGAAUACAAGAACAAGAGUCCUCUGUGGAUGCAGCUGUGGUGCCUACUACUAACCCUUUAAUAAACACUAUGCAAUACAUUUGCAUCAACUAAA